RNAcentral lists this ribosomal RNA (1603 nucleotides) under human metagenome. RNAcentral describes it as "bacterial LSU rRNA". It matches the Rfam family "Bacterial large subunit ribosomal RNA", at positions 1390 to 2925 of the family's 2925-position model. The record is from RNAcentral.
CCGCCAUAUAGGCCGCAUGUGUCAGGUUCGCCUGACGGUGUGGUUGUGGUGGUGGGGUCUGGGGAUCCUCCGUGCAGGUAGGCAAGCGUGUUAACAGGGGUGACGCACAGUGGUAGCCCGGCGGACCUGAUGGCUUGGUCCGUUCAAGCGCGCAGCCCGUUUCCCAGGUAAAUCCGGGGGACUGUCUUUGAUGACGGGGGUGAGGCGUGAUGGUGACCUCACGUUGGUGGGGGAUAACAGGGUGAUCCUGGGGUGCCGAGAAAAGCCUCGACGCGAUGGUGCCAGCCGCCCGUACCCUAAACCGACACAGGUGGUCGGGCAGAGUAUGCCUAGGCGCACGAGUGAAUCAUGGUUAAGGAACUCGGCAAAAUGCCCCCGUAACUUCGGGAGAAGGGGGGCCUGAUCCCUGAAGCCCCGUUUGCGGGCUAGGGGGGAGGGUCGCAGAGGCCAGGGGGAAGCGACUGUUUACUAAAAACACAGGUCCGUGCGAAGCCGUAAGGCGAUGUAUACGGACUGACGCCUGCCCGGUGCUGGAAGGUUAAGAGGAACCAUCAACCCCCUCGGGGGUGAAGUGGUGAAUUUAAGCCCCAGUAAACGGCGGUGGUAACUAUAACCAUCCUAAGGUAGCGAAAUUCCUUGUCGGGUAAGUUCCGACCUGCACGAAUGGCGUAACGACUUCCCCGCUGUCUCAACCAUGAGCUCGGCGAAAUUGCAGUACGAGUAAAGAUGCUCGUUUCGCGCAGAAGGACGGAAAGACCCCGGGACCUUUACUACAGCUUGGUAUUGGCGCCCGCUAUAGCUUGUGCAGGAUAGGUGGGAGACUGUGAAGCCGUUACGCCAGUGGCGGUGGAGUCGUCCUUGAAAUACCACUCUGGUUAUGGCGUGCGCCUGAACCUGGGCCCGUGAUCCGGGUUAGGGACAGUGCCUGGUGGGUAGUUUAACUGGGGCGGUUGCCUCCUAAAGUGUAACGGAGGCGCUCAAAGGUUCCCUCAGCCUGGUCGGCAACCAGGUGUUGAGUGCAAGUGCACAAGGGAGCUUGACUGUGAGACCGACGGGUCGAGCAGGUACGAAAGUAGGAACUAGUGAUCCGGCGAUCCCGUGUGGGUGGGUCGUCGCUCAACGGAUAAAAGGUACCCCGGGGAUAACAGGCUGAUCCUGCCCAAGAGUCCAUAUCGACGGCAUGGUUUGGCACCUCGAUGUCGGCUCGUCGCAUCCUGGGGCUGGAGCAGGUCCCAAGGGUUGGGCUGUUCGCCCAUUAAAGCGGUACGCGAGCUGGGUUUAGAACGUCGUGAGACAGUUCGGUCCCUAUCCUCUGCGCGCGCAGGAGACUUGAGAAGGCCUGUCCCUAGUACGAGAGGACCGGGACGGACGAACCUCUGGUGUGCCAGUUGUCCCGCCCGGGGCACGGCUGGUUGGCUACGUUCGGGAAGGGUAACCGCUGAAAGCAUCUAAGCGGGAAACCAUCUUCAAGAUAAGGUCUCCACAAGAAGGACUUGUCCUUUUUGGUAGGCCCCCAGCAGACUACUGGGUUGAUAGGCCAGGAGUGGAAGACCGGUAACGGUCUGUGAGCUGACUGGUACUAAUAGGCCGACACAAACAACAA